UCGAGCGCCCGCAAGGGGAGCGGCAGACGGGUGAGUAACGCGUGGGGAUGUACCCAAAGGUACGGAACAACUCCGGGAAACUGGAGCUAAUACCGUAUGUGCCCGAGAGGGGAAAGAUUUAUCGCCUUUGGAUCAACCCGCGUCAGAUUAGCUAGUUGGUAGGGUAAUGGCCUACCAAGGCGACGAUCUGUAGCUGGUCUGAGAGGAUGAUCAGCCACACUGGGACUGAGACACGGCCCAGACUCCUACGGGAGGCAGCAGUGGGGAAUAUUGGACAAUGGGCGCAAGCCUGAUCCAGCCAUGCCGCGUGAGUGAUGACGGCCUUAGGGUUGUAAAGCUCUUUCGACGGGGACGAUAAUGACGGUACCCGUAGAAGAAGCCCCGGCUAACUUCGUGCCAGCAGCCGCGG
Molecule: ribosomal RNA, 409 nt
Filed under: uncultured Blastochloris sp.
Lineage: Bacteria; Pseudomonadati; Pseudomonadota; Alphaproteobacteria; Hyphomicrobiales; Blastochloridaceae
Description: bacterial SSU rRNA
Rfam family: Bacterial small subunit ribosomal RNA
Source: RNAcentral